Molecule: ribosomal RNA, 1528 nt
Filed under: Klebsiella pneumoniae
Lineage: Bacteria; Pseudomonadati; Pseudomonadota; Gammaproteobacteria; Enterobacterales; Enterobacteriaceae
Description: bacterial SSU rRNA
Rfam family: Bacterial small subunit ribosomal RNA
Source: RNAcentral
AGAGUUUGAUCAUGGCUCAGAUUGAACGCUGGCGGCAGGCCUAACACAUGCAAGUCGAGCGGUAGCACAGAGAGCUUGCUCUCGGGUGACGAGCGGCGGACGGGUGAGUAAUGUCUGGGAAACUGCCUGAUGGAGGGGGAUAACUACUGGAAACGGUAGCUAAUACCGCAUAAUGUCGCAAGACCAAAGUGGGGGACCUUCGGGCCUCAUGCCAUCAGAUGUGCCCAGAUGGGAUUAGCUAGUAGGUGGGGUAACGGCUCACCUAGGCGACGAUCCCUAGCUGGUCUGAGAGGAUGACCAGCCACACUGGAACUGAGACACGGUCCAGACUCCUACGGGAGGCAGCAGUGGGGAAUAUUGCACAAUGGGCGCAAGCCUGAUGCAGCCAUGCCGCGUGUGUGAAGAAGGCCUUCGGGUUGUAAAGCACUUUCAGCGGGGAGGAAGGCGUUGAGGUUAAUAACCUUGGCGAUUGACGUUACCCGCAGAAGAAGCACCGGCUAACUCCGUGCCAGCAGCCGCGGUAAUACGGAGGGUGCAAGCGUUAAUCGGAAUUACUGGGCGUAAAGCGCACGCAGGCGGUCUGUCAAGUCGGAUGUGAAAUCCCCGGGCUCAACCUGGGAACUGCAUUCGAAACUGGCAGGCUAGAGUCUUGUAGAGGGGGGUAGAAUUCCAGGUGUAGCGGUGAAAUGCGUAGAGAUCUGGAGGAAUACCGGUGGCGAAGGCGGCCCCCUGGACAAAGACUGACGCUCAGGUGCGAAAGCGUGGGGAGCAAACAGGAUUAGAUACCCUGGUAGUCCACGCCGUAAACGAUGUCGAUUUGGAGGUUGUGCCCUUGAGGCGUGGCUUCCGGAGCUAACGCGUUAAAUCGACCGCCUGGGGAGUACGGCCGCAAGGUUAAAACUCAAAUGAAUUGACGGGGGCCCGCACAAGCGGUGGAGCAUGUGGUUUAAUUCGAUGCAACGCGAAGAACCUUACCUGGUCUUGACAUCCACAGAACUUUCCAGAGAUGGAUUGGUGCCUUCGGGAACUGUGAGACAGGUGCUGCAUGGCUGUCGUCAGCUCGUGUUGUGAAAUGUUGGGUUAAGUCCCGCAACGAGCGCAACCCUUAUCCUUUGUUGCCAGCGGUCCGGCCGGGAACUCAAAGGAGACUGCCAGUGAUAAACUGGAGGAAGGUGGGGAUGACGUCAAGUCAUCAUGGCCCUUACGACCAGGGCUACACACGUGCUACAAUGGCAUAUACAAAGAGAAGCGACCUCGCGAGAGCAAGCGGACCUCAUAAAGUAUGUCGUAGUCCGGAUUGGAGUCUGCAACUCGACUCCAUGAAGUCGGAAUCGCUAGUAAUCGUAGAUCAGAAUGCUACGGUGAAUACGUUCCCGGGCCUUGUACACACCGCCCGUCACACCAUGGGAGUGGGUUGCAAAAGAAGUAGGUAGCUUAACCUUCGGGAGGGCGCUUACCACUUUGUGAUUCAUGACUGGGGUGAAGUCGUAACAAGGUAACCGUAGGGGAACCUGCGGUUGGAUCACCU